UCGAUAACCCACGAUAAACCUUACCUGCUCUUGAACUGAUCAGCCUAUAUACCUCCGUCGCCAGUCCGCCUGCCAACAGAUGCCAAAGCGCAUACAACAGCCCUAUCACUCACACGACAGGUCAAGGUGUAGCUAAUGGGCUCAGGGAGAGAUGGGCUACAUUUUCUCCGUUAGAAAA
RNAcentral lists this ribosomal RNA (178 nucleotides) under Uroplatus fotsivava. RNAcentral describes it as "partial 12S ribosomal RNA". Lineage: Eukaryota; Metazoa; Chordata; Lepidosauria; Squamata; Gekkonidae. The record is from RNAcentral.